GAGUUUGAUCUUGGCUCAGAUUGAACGCUGGCGGCAUGCCUUACACAUGCAAGUCGAACGGCAGCACGGGAGCUUGCUCCUGGUGGCGAGUGGCGAACGGGUGAGUAAUGCAUCGGAACGUAUCCUGGAGUGGGGGAUAACGUAGCGAAAGUUACGCUAAUACCGCAUAUUCUGUGAGCAGGAAAGCGGGGGACCUUCGGGCCUCGCGCUCUUGGAGCGGCCGAUGUCGGAUUAGCUAGUUGGUGAGGUAAAGGCUCACCAAGGCGACGAUCCGUAGCAGGUCUGAGAGGAUGAUCUGCCACACUGGAACUGAGACACGGUCCAGACUCCUACGGGAGGCAGCAGUGGGAACUUUGGACAAUGGGGGCAACCCUGAUCCAGCCAUGCCGCGUGAGUGAAGAAGGCCUGGUUGUAAGACGUCUUCGUCGA
RNAcentral lists this ribosomal RNA (429 nucleotides) under bacterium enrichment culture clone ALO1_GLFRUDD03GEZCW. RNAcentral's name for it is "bacterial SSU rRNA". It matches the Rfam family "Bacterial small subunit ribosomal RNA", at positions 9 to 442 of the family's 1533-position model. The record is from RNAcentral.